RNAcentral lists this transfer RNA (64 nucleotides) under Coptotermes heimi. Its description in RNAcentral is "tRNA-Glu". It matches the Rfam family "tRNA". Rfam says of the family: Transfer RNA (tRNA) molecules are approximately 80 nucleotides in length. Lineage: Eukaryota; Metazoa; Arthropoda; Insecta; Blattodea; Rhinotermitidae. The record is from RNAcentral.
AUUUAUAUAGUUUAAGAAAACAUUACAUUUUCACUGUAAAAAUAAAGCCCAGCUUUUAUAAAUA